CUUAUCAAGAGAGGCGGAGGGACAGGCCCUGUGAAACCCGGCAACCGGCAUUAUGCAGCGGUGCUAAAUCCUGCGGUGUUUAUUCCGAAAGAUGAG
RNAcentral lists this non-coding RNA (96 nucleotides) under human gut metagenome. RNAcentral's name for it is "SAM riboswitch (S box leader)". It matches the Rfam family "SAM riboswitch aptamer (S box leader)". From Rfam's summary of the family: The SAM riboswitch is found upstream of a number of genes which code for proteins involved in methionine or cysteine biosynthesis in Gram-positive bacteria. The record is from RNAcentral.